UACGUAUGGGGCAAGCGUUAUCCGGAUUUACUGGGUGUAAAGGGAGCGUAGGCGGCCUGGCAAGUCUGAUGUGAAAUACCGGGGCCCAACCCCGGGGCUGCAUUGGAAACUGUCAGGCUGGAGUGUCGGAGAGGCAGGCGGAAUUCCUAGUGUAGCGGUGAAAUGCGUAGAUAUUAGGAGGAACACCAGUGGCGAAGGCGGCCUGCUGGACGAUGACUGACGCUGAGGCUCGAAAGCGUGGGGAGCAAACA
This 251-nucleotide ribosomal RNA is filed under the name uncultured bacterium. RNAcentral describes it as "partial 16S ribosomal RNA". It matches the Rfam family "Bacterial small subunit ribosomal RNA", at positions 524 to 774 of the family's 1533-position model. The record is from RNAcentral.